This 1393-nucleotide ribosomal RNA is filed under the name uncultured archaeon. Its description in RNAcentral is "partial 16S ribosomal RNA". The record is from RNAcentral.
GUGCUCCCCCGCCAAUUCCUUCCCCGUAUAAAACUUGUAGGCGUCGCUGAGUUUGGGGUUCUUCACCCCCUGCUUCCCCUGUGUCUCCAUCUCGCGUGCCGCGAGCUUCAUGACGUCGAUUUCUUCUGGAGGCCAGGGAAAGGUUCGCUCAAGGCCGUAUUUGAGAAGCUGGAACCACAGGACAUCGCGGUCGAACUUGGUGUUGUAUCCGCCCCAUGCGCGACACCCCAAUGCGAACCGUGAAAGCGCAGGUCCAAUUUCGAAGAGGGUGGGCGCAUCGGCCACUGUCUCAGGACUAAUUCCAUGCGUCUUGAUGGCGUCAUCGCUCCACUUCACUGCUUCCGGGUUGACGUUGGUGUAGAAGCUGCUCUCUUCAUCGCCGACGUCGGCUUCUAAUUCGCAAUUCGGACAGAAAUCGUCCUUAUCGCGAAUUCGGAUCGCCCCGAUCUGUACGAUGCCCGGCUGGGCCAUGAAGUCGGUCGACGCGGUCGUGAGACCCGUCGUCUCGAAGUCGAUGAAGAGGAUCACUUCUUCACCCGCCGCGGCUUGCAGGUAUUGGAUUUCGGAUAGACGGUGCGCCCGUUACGCACACGCGGAUGGAUGCUCAUCUGGGGCGGAGAUACCUUACGCCCAUAGACGUAGAAGCUAUCAUUCAUCUGAAUUUGCCCGUGCAUUAGCCCGAUCAGAAAGUGAGCUAUAUUGCUCACAUCGUCAAGCGUAACGACUGUUACGCCUCAAACUAUUUUUCUGCUUCCGAGUUGAGGUGUGCCAUUGACAAUUUCAUUUCCUCGGCGUGUCUCGAUCAAAUCGUCGCGCAGAAGCAAUUCAAGACGCGCUAAUGCACCCCACGCUUCCUGUGCUGCAUGCGCGAGCCCGCUGUCGCCCUCGUCGUACGGUCCCUCGAUCGAUUGUGCUGCAAAGUGACGCGCCUUCGCGUCGGUGUAGCGUGCGAGUGCGUUCGGCACCUUCUCCCAGCCGUCGUACGAUCCGUAUUUCCGAAAACCGUAUUCGGAUACCCACGCGAUCGCGAGAAGUGCCCGUGGAAAGCGGCUCAAACAGCCCUGCCACAGCGGCGCUUUGCCCGCAUCAUUUUUGACGUUGGUCGGCGGUGGCGUAGCGGGAAUAUCAUUCUCUUCCAGCCAUGUGACCUCGCAACGAUCGCAACGUCCGACCUUGAAGUGGAUAGCCUGGUCGCAGUCGAUGCAGUGAUAAAACUUAGGUUGUCCAACCAUCUUCAUCCUCCAAAGUGAGUCAUGUAAGUCGGUGUGCGCGGCAGCAUGACGUGAACCUCCUGCAUCGCCCGCGUCAUCGCGACGUAUGCCAAGCGCGUUUCGGCUGGCGUGUUCACGUUGCGGCGCACCAAAUCAUUGCAGUCCGGCAGGAUCAACCGGAG